UGGGGAAUUUUGGACAAUGGGGGCAACCCUGAUCCAGCCAUGCCGCGUGCAGGAUGAAGGUCUUCGGAUUGUAAACUGCUUUUGUCAGGGAAGAAAAGUUUAGAGCGAAUAACUCUGAAUGCUGACGGUACCUAACCAGAAAGCCACGGCUAACUACGUGCCAGCAGCCGCGGUAAUACGUAGGUGGCAAGCGUUGUCCGGAAUUAUUGGGCGUAAAGCGCGCGCAGGUGGUUUAGAAAGUCUGAUGUGAAAGCCCACGGCUCAACCGUGGAGGGUCAUUGGAAACUAAUAAACUUGAGUGCAGGAGAGAAAAGUGGAAUUCCUAGUGUAGCGGUGAAAUGCGUAGAGAUUAGGAGGAACACCGGUGGCGAAAGCGGCUUUUUGGCCUGCAACUGACACUGAGGCGCGAAAGCGUGGGGAGCAAACAGG
Molecule: ribosomal RNA, 429 nt
Filed under: Verrucomicrobiota bacterium
Lineage: Bacteria; Pseudomonadati; Verrucomicrobiota
Description: Verrucomicrobia bacterium partial 16S ribosomal RNA
Rfam family: Bacterial small subunit ribosomal RNA
Source: RNAcentral